This 352-nucleotide long non-coding RNA is filed under the name Brassica napus (rape). RNAcentral describes it as "long non-coding RNA (BNAP_LNC005368)". Lineage: Eukaryota; Viridiplantae; Streptophyta; Magnoliopsida; Brassicales; Brassicaceae. The record is from RNAcentral.
AUAAUACCAUACUAUAAUAAGGUAUAUGUAAUCUAGUCAAACCAGAAACAAAAAAAAAUUAUGUAUUCAUUACCAUCUAUACAUAUCUAAUACUUAAACAUAAUGUAUUAUAAUGAAAUUUGGUAAAAAAAGUUACUAUAAUGAAUUUAAUUACUUCUUAUCUUAGAAUGAUCAUCCUACAAUAUUAACCCAUCAAUCAAUUGAAAGUUACUCACUAAUUAUGAAUUUUUUUUUUUGUAGACACAUGUUUCUUUUUUCUUGACUAUUGCAAAUUUUUUCAUGGUAAGUGUAGAUUCUGGAUAUAUAUGUUUGAAUUUUGGAUUAGAGACAAGGAAGUAGUUAACUAAAAUGG